UACGUAGGGUGCGAGCGUUAAUCGGAAUUACUGGGCGUAAAGCGUGCGCAGGCGGUUUGGCAAGUCAGAUGUGAAAUCUCCGGGCUUAACCUGGGAACUGCAUUUGUGACUGCACGGCUAGAGUGUGUCAGAGGGGGGUAGAAUUCCACGUGUAGCAGUGAAAUGCGUAGAUAUGUGGAGGAAUACCGAUGGCGAAGGCAGCCCCCUGGGAUAACACUGACGCUCAUGCACGAAAGCGUGGGGAGCAAACAGG
This 253-nucleotide ribosomal RNA is filed under the name uncultured bacterium. Its description in RNAcentral is "partial 16S ribosomal RNA". It matches the Rfam family "Bacterial small subunit ribosomal RNA", at positions 524 to 776 of the family's 1533-position model. The record is from RNAcentral.